This 253-nucleotide ribosomal RNA is filed under the name uncultured bacterium. Its description in RNAcentral is "partial 16S ribosomal RNA". It matches the Rfam family "Bacterial small subunit ribosomal RNA", at positions 524 to 776 of the family's 1533-position model. The record is from RNAcentral.
UACGGAGGGGGCUAGCGUUGUUCGGAAUUACUGGGCGUAAAGCGCACGUAGGCGGCUUUGUAAGUUAGAGGUGAAAGCCCAGGGCUUAACCCUGGAAUUGCCUUUAAGACUGCAUCGCUAGAAUUGUGGAGAGGUAAGUGGAAUUCCGAGUGUAGAGGUGAAAUUCGUAGAUAUUCGGAAGAACACCAGUGGCGAAGGCGGCUCACUGGACCGUUGUUGACGCUAAGGUGCGAAAGCGUGGGGAGCAAACAGG